Molecule: ribosomal RNA, 480 nt
Filed under: uncultured bacterium
Lineage: Bacteria
Description: bacterial SSU rRNA
Rfam family: Bacterial small subunit ribosomal RNA
Source: RNAcentral
UUGAACGCUGGCGGAAUGCUUUACACAUGCAAGUCGAGCGGCAGCGCGGGGCAACCUGGCGGCGAGCGGCGAACGGGUGAGUAAUAUAUCGGAACAUAUCCUGUCGUGGGGGAUAACUAAUCGAAAGGUUAGCUAAUACCGCAUACGACCUGAGGGAGAAAGCGGGGGCUCGCAAGACCUCGCGCGAUUGGAGUGGCCGAUAUCUGAUUAGCUAGAUGGUGAGGUAAAGGCUCACCAUGGCGACGAUCAGUAGCUGGUCUGAGAGGAUGAUCAGCCACACUGGGACUGAGACACGGCCCAGACUCCUACGGGAGGCAGCAGUGGGGAAUUUUGGACAAUGGGGGCAACCCUGAUCCAGCCAUUCCGCGUGAGUGAAGAAGGCCUUCGGGUUGUAAAGCUCUUUCAGCAGGAACGAAACGGUGGCUACUAAUACUAGCUACUAAUGACGGUACCUGAAGAAGAAGCACCGGCUAACUACGU